CAGGCACCACCUUUAUGGGGCUUUCAGACUGGUGGUGUAGACAGACACCGAACGGCUAGCUGCACCGUUAAUUAUUUAAUUGCCAUUGUGAUCAGUGCUGUGAGGGGAGACGGGCAGCUGCUGAGAGCCUGUAACAGAGCUGCCGAGGGCAGACAGAGGAGCCAGAGUUAACAAAGUGUCGUCAUCGAGGCAGCUGAGCUCCUGGAGGACGGUCACUCUGCCCGUUUCAAGGACUUGUCAGUGGGCGACAGAAUCAGCAGACUGGACAGAAGGGUGGAGAUCCAGUGCGGUGGACGGAGAAAGGUGGACGGGACAGGAUGUGGCACAGGCAGGAUUCUUAGCCCCUGUCAUCUCUGUCCCCAAACACGGCAUCCAGCGGGCAUCACCAACACCCGCGUUCAGGACACUCACCGACAAUGACCCUGCCGCGGACCCUGUCUCUCCUGCUCCACCCCACCCCUGAGUGGCAGAUGACAGGACAGGUAAUGGGGAUGGGGACAAGGCGAGGUGGGUGUGAGGCCACACUCUCCAGAACUCUAGAAUCACAGCACAGAGAGGAACGGAGCUUGUGAGGUGCCUCUCGGUCC
Lynx canadensis (Canada lynx) is the source of this 587-nucleotide long non-coding RNA. RefSeq lists it as uncharacterized. NCBI's taxonomy places the organism in Eukaryota, Metazoa, Chordata, Mammalia, Carnivora, Felidae. The record is from RefSeq and is a predicted model, not a curated record. The transcript is spliced from 4 exons.